Molecule: ribosomal RNA, 293 nt
Filed under: Pelobates cultripes (western spadefoot toad)
Lineage: Eukaryota; Metazoa; Chordata; Amphibia; Anura; Pelobatidae
Description: SSU_rRNA_microsporidia
Rfam family: Eukaryotic small subunit ribosomal RNA
Source: RNAcentral
CCCAGCACAAGUUAGAAUCAGCACAAGUUAGAAUGUGGGCAACUCUGCAGUCAUUGCGCAGGCACUUUGGUGACUCUAGAUAACCUCAGGCCGAUGAAACGUCCCCGCGACAACGCAUUAGAAUGUCUGCCCUAUCAACUUUCAAUGGUACUUUCUGCGCCUACCAUGGUGACCAUGGGUAACGGGGAAUCAGGGUUUGAUUCCGGAGAGGGAGCCUGAGAAAUGGCUACCACAUCCAAGGAAGGCAGCAGGCGCGCAAAUUACCCACUUACCGACGCGGGGAGGUAGUGAUG